AGUGAACGCUGGCGGUAGGCCUAACACAUGCAAGUCGAACGGCAGCACAGGAGAGCUUGCUCUCUGGGUGGCGAGUGGCGGACGGGUGAGGAAUACAUCGGAAUCUACUCUGUCGUGGGGGAUAACGUAGGGAAACUUACGCUAAUACCGCAUACGACCUACGGGUGAAAGCAGGGGAUCUUCGGACCUUGCGCGAUUGAAUGAGCCGAUGUCGGAUUAGCUAGUUGGCGGGGUAAAGGCCCACCAAGGCGACGAUCCGUAGCUGGUCUGGGAGGAUGAUCAGCCCAACUGGAACUGAGACACGGUCCAGACUACUACGGGAGGCAGCAGUGGGGAAUAUUGGACAAUGGGCGCAAGCCUGAUCCAGCCAUACCGCGUGGGUGAAGAAGGCCUUCGGGUUGUAAAGCCCUUUUGUUGGGAAAGAAAUCCAGCUGGCUAAUACCCGGUUGGGAUGACGGUACCCAAAGAAUAAGCACCGGCUAACUUCGUGCCAGCCGCCGCGGUAA
Molecule: ribosomal RNA, 506 nt
Filed under: uncultured bacterium
Lineage: Bacteria
Description: partial 16S ribosomal RNA
Rfam family: Bacterial small subunit ribosomal RNA
Source: RNAcentral